Molecule: ribosomal RNA, 254 nt
Filed under: uncultured bacterium
Lineage: Bacteria
Description: partial 16S ribosomal RNA
Rfam family: Bacterial small subunit ribosomal RNA
Source: RNAcentral
UACGAAGGGGGCUAGCGUUGUUCGGAGUUACUGGGCGUAAAGGGCGCGUAGGCGGCUGGUCAAGUCGGGUGUGAAAGCCCGGGGCUCAACCCCGGAAAUGCACUCGAGACUGAUCGGCUUGAGGACGGGAGAGGAUAGUGGAAUUCCCAGUGUAGAGGUGAAAUUCGUAGAUAUUGGGAAGAACACCGGUGGCGAAGGCGGCCUGCUGGGGUCUUGGCUGACGCUGAAGCGCGACAGCGUGGGGAGCAAACAGG